RNAcentral lists this ribosomal RNA (466 nucleotides) under uncultured bacterium. Its description in RNAcentral is "bacterial SSU rRNA". It matches the Rfam family "Bacterial small subunit ribosomal RNA", at positions 339 to 797 of the family's 1533-position model. The record is from RNAcentral.
AUACGGGAGGCAGCAGUGGGGAAUUUUGGACAAUGGGGGCAACCCUGAUCCAGCAAUGCCGCGUGAGUGAAGAAGGCCUUCGGGUUGUAAAGCUCUUUUGUCAGGGAAGAAACGGGAGUGGCUAAUAUCCAUUCCUAAUGACGGUACCUGAAGAAUAAGCACCGGCUAACUACGUGCCAGCAGCCGCGGUAAUACGUAGGGUGCAAGCGUUAAUCGGAAUUACUGGGCGUAAAGCGUGCGCAGGCGGUUUCGUAAGUCUGAUGUGAAAUCCCCGGGCUUAACCUGGGAAUUGCAUUGGAGACUGCGAGGCUAGAAUCUGGCAGAGGGGGGUAGAAUUCCACGUGUAGCAGUGAAAUGCGUAGAGAUGUGGAGGAACACCGAUGGCGAAGGCAGCCCCCUGGGUCAAGAUUGACGCUCAUGCACGAAAGCGUGGGGAGCAAACAGGAUUAGAUACCCGCGUAGUCCG